AUUGGUUCAAUUGAAGGAGGCUAGUGUUAAUUAUGAAGCAACGAAACGAAAGCAUGGACCAAAAAGUACGAGUUAAAUACAAUUUAGGCACCAAAAUAAUUAAAUUGUAGGAGUACCAGUUAUUGACAAUAAUAGUACCAAUUAGUACAAAGAAGGCAUUAUAUAAUAAAGCAUGUAUGCGUUUGGGUAAAUGAAGUUGAAGCACUAAUUAAGAUCCGAAACGAGUUUCAUCUUCUGGCGAUGAAUGAAUUCACCAGCUUUCUUGUUAAUUUGUGGAUCAGCUGCACCCCAUCUUUCUUUGUCAUCAUAAUCACUAAUAUGCCACAUUUUACUUCCACUUUCAAAUCCAUGAUCACACCUCUUAAUUCCUACUUUGCUCUUCUUAGAUUUGAACAUACUAAAAACAAAAAAGAAAGAUUUCUUCAGUCUGUUCUUACCCGCCAUUAUAACUCUACUUGCCUCUAAUCAAAACACUCUCUCUUUAAUGUAUGUUUAAUUUAAUAAUGAA
RNAcentral lists this long non-coding RNA (508 nucleotides) under Medicago truncatula (barrel medic). RNAcentral describes it as "long non-coding RNA (MTRU_LNC005704)". The record is from RNAcentral. Lineage: Eukaryota; Viridiplantae; Streptophyta; Magnoliopsida; Fabales; Fabaceae.